Molecule: long non-coding RNA, 1865 nt
Organism: Macrobrachium nipponense
Lineage: Eukaryota; Metazoa; Arthropoda; Malacostraca; Decapoda; Palaemonidae
Exons: 3
Source: RefSeq, a predicted model, not a curated record
UCUUCAUUGAACGAACCUUCUGUCUUGCCUUUCAUGUACUCACGGACACGACCCAUGGGAAGCGUUUCAGUUGCAUCCUGAAAUACAAAAAUACAGGUGAAAAAACCUACUAAAUCUAUCAACUAAAUACAGGAUUUUAGUGGAAACAAGGACAAAGGAUUCUGGUAUCACUGGUGUUGGCAGAUUUGGAGAUUUCAUCAAUCUAAUACUGCAGGAAAGGUUGUUUUCUAAAUCAGUUGUAACAGCAGCUGUCAAACCUACACCUGAAGAUCCCCUACCAGUGGUGGUAAUAGCACGAGGAGCAGUGUUCAAAACAUAACGAAGUAGCUGGGAUUUGGCUACAGAUGGAUCUCCAAUCAAGAGGAUAUUGAUGUCACUAUAGAUAAAGUUAGGGUACAAAUUAAAAUCCAAUCAAAGAGAAAGAAGAAGCAACUAAAGGCUUUUCAAUGUUUAACCUCCUCUGGGUUUACCAAUAAAUGGAGCAGACAAUUUAUAUAAUAAUAAUGAUGAGUAUUAGCAUGAAAGGGAAAAAUUUAUAUUAAAGAAUGUUACAUAGAGACCCUAACUUAGGAUGCUCUGCCAGCAACCUUUUCUUUAAUGCCAACAUGAGCAUAAUCCAGCAUAUCUAGGUAAAUAUUAUUAACACUGUCAUAUGAAAUGGAUGCACAAAUUUAACUAGAGAAGUGUAAUCAAGGACAGAAUACAUUAAAAAAGUUUCGAACAUCAAGCAAAAUAUAUUAUGGCACAGGAACAUAGCAUUAAGAUAGCAAUAAAGAUAAACCAAAACACUGUGGCACUUCAUGAAAGUACAAUGACUGCUUUGUGAAACAAAAUGUGUUCACCCUAGAGGCCCUGACAUAAAGUCCACUAUUUGCAACCAUCCAAUGAUGGUGUAACCUAUAAUUAUUAUUAAUGGGUAAACUAACCUCCUGUAUGGACUGUUUCUUCUAUGAAAUCAAAGUCACACAAAGAAACAACAUAUAUACAUAUUGAAGUUUUUAAAUGAGUGAAUUCCAACUCACCGUUCAAGCAUGAAAACUCAUAACAAAAAGCUGAAGUUUCAUUAACAAAAUGAGUUAUAAUUAUCUCCCAAAUUAAUAAAAUAUAACCACGUAAAGUCUUUGUAAUGCAUUUUUUUGAACAGCGGAGGACAAGAAUGAACAUGAAAAAAUAUUAUUUGAUCAACGUGAGGGCACUUACAAAAGCUGCCGUAAUUUGUAUAAUUAUGUAAAAAAAUAAAAAUACCCUAUACAUCAUACAUUUUCAUACACAUUUUAAACAUAAAAGCAUGAACAUUUAUAAAAUUGACACAUCGAUCGCUAAAUUUGCACUCUUUUUGAACUCUAUAUUUUUGGAAGAGCGGCAGGCAGCAGCGGACAAGAACGAACAUGAAAAAACAUCCUCUGAUAUCGUAGAGGGCAGUUUCAAAAGCUGCCUUUGUAUCAUAUUUAUGCACUGAAAUAAAAAUACCCUAUACGUACGACAUUUUCAUGCACAUUUUAAACAUAAAUGCAUGAACAUUUAUAGACACAAUGAUCGCUAAAUUUGCACUUUUUUUAACUCUAUAUUUUCGGAAGAGCAGAAGGCGGUGGCUCACAAGAACAAACAUGAAAAAACGUCCUCUUUGAUAACUGGAGGGCUGUUUCAAAAGCUGUCUUUGUAUCAUAUUUAUGUGCAGAAAUAAAAAUACCCUAAUACAUUUUCAUAAAAUUGUAAACAUAAAACCAUGAACAUUUGUAAAUGGACACAUCCAUAGCUAAAUUUGCACUUAUUUAACUCAAUGUUUUUGGCUUAGAACAGCAUCAGGGGCAUAUGGUUUACCCUAAUACCUAUGUAAUAACUAUCAAUAAAUUUUUAAAAUAUAA